CCUACGGGGGGCAGCAGUGAGGAAUAUUGGUCAAUGGGCUUACGCCUGAACCAGCCAAGUCGCGUGAGGGCAGACUGCCCUAUGGAUUGUAAACCUCUUUUGUCAGGGAGCAAUAUGCGCUACGUGUAGCGUUAUCGAGAUUACCUAAAGAAAAAGCAUCGGCUAACUCCGUGCCAGCAGCCGCGGUAAUACGGAGGAUGCAAGCGUUAUCCGGAAUGACUGGGCGGAAAGGGUUCGUAGGUGGUUUAGUAAGUUGGCGGUGUAAUACCGGGGCUCAACCUCGGCGUUACCGCCAAAACUAUUAGACUAGAGAGGAGGAGGGGUAAGUGGAAUUCCUAGUGUAGCGGUGGAAUGCGUAGAUAUUAGGAGGAACAUCAGGGGCGAAGGCGACUUACUGGACUGUAACUGACACUGAGGAACGAAAGCGUGGGGAGCAAACAGGAUUAGAUACCCGGGUAGUC
This 461-nucleotide ribosomal RNA is filed under the name uncultured bacterium. Its description in RNAcentral is "partial 16S ribosomal RNA". It matches the Rfam family "Bacterial small subunit ribosomal RNA", at positions 338 to 795 of the family's 1533-position model. The record is from RNAcentral.